This 64-nucleotide transfer RNA is filed under the name Cavia porcellus (domestic guinea pig). It matches the Rfam family "tRNA", at positions 1 to 62 of the family's 71-position model. From Rfam's summary of the family: Transfer RNA (tRNA) molecules are approximately 80 nucleotides in length. Their secondary structure includes four short double-helical elements and three loops (D, anti-codon, and T loops). The record is from Rfam by way of RNAcentral. Lineage: Eukaryota; Metazoa; Chordata; Mammalia; Rodentia; Caviidae.
GGGGAUUUAGCUCAGUGUCAUAAGCACCUGCCUUGCAAGCAGGCAGUCUUAAGUUCAAUCCCUG